UACGUAGGGACCAAGCGUUGUUCGGAUUUACUGGGCGUAAAGGGCGCGUAGGCGGCGUGGUAAGUCAGCUGUGAAAUCUCCCGGCUAAACUGGGAGAGGACACGUCAGACUGCCCGGCUAGAGGCGGAUAGAGGGGCGCAGAAUUCGGGGUGUAGCGGUGAAAUGUGUAGAGAUCCCGAGGAAUACCAGUGGUGAAGACGGCGCCCUGGGUCCGUACUGACGCUGAGAUGCGAAAGCGUGGGGAGCGAACGGG
Molecule: ribosomal RNA, 253 nt
Filed under: uncultured bacterium
Lineage: Bacteria
Description: partial 16S ribosomal RNA
Rfam family: Bacterial small subunit ribosomal RNA
Source: RNAcentral